This 253-nucleotide ribosomal RNA is filed under the name uncultured bacterium. Its description in RNAcentral is "partial 16S ribosomal RNA". It matches the Rfam family "Bacterial small subunit ribosomal RNA", at positions 524 to 776 of the family's 1533-position model. The record is from RNAcentral.
UACGGAGGGGGCUAGCGUUGUUCGGAAUUACUGGGCGUAAAGCGCACGUAGGCGGCUUUGUAAGUUAGAGGUGAAAGCCCAGAGCUCAACUCUGGAACUGCCUUUAAGACUGCAUCGCUUGAAUCAUGGAGAGGUUAGUGGAAUUCCGAGUGUAGAGGUGAAAUUCGUAGAUAUUGGGAGGAACACCAGUGGCGAAGGCGGCUCACUGGACCGGUUCUGACGCUGAGGCGCGAAAGCGUGGGGAGCAAACGGG